GAUGAACGCUGGCGGCGUGCCUAAUACAUGCAAGUCGAGCGAACAGACGAGGAGCUUGCUCCUCUGACGUUAGCGGCGGACGGGUGAGUAACACGUGGAUAACCUACCUAUAAGACUGGGAUAACUUCGGGAAACCGGAGCUAAUACCGGAUAAUAUAUUGCACCGCAUGGUUCAAUAGUGAAAGACGGUUUUGCUGUCACUUCUAGAUGGAUCCGGGCCGGAUGAGCUAGUUGGUAAGGUAACGGCUUACCAAGGGAACGAUGCGUAGCCGACCUGAGAGGGUGAUCGGCCACACGGGAACUGAGACACGGUCCAGACUCCUACGGGAGGCAGCAGUAGGGAAUCGUCCGCAAUGGGCGAAAGCCUGGCGGAGCAACGCCGCGUGAGUGAUGAAGGUCUUCGGAUCGUAAAACUCUGUUAUUAGGGAAGAACAAAUGUGUAAGUAACUAUGCACGUCUUGACGGUACCUAAUCAGAAAGCCACGGCUAACUACGUG
This 497-nucleotide ribosomal RNA is filed under the name uncultured bacterium. RNAcentral's name for it is "partial 16S ribosomal RNA". It matches the Rfam family "Bacterial small subunit ribosomal RNA", at positions 28 to 507 of the family's 1533-position model. The record is from RNAcentral.